Molecule: ribosomal RNA, 467 nt
Filed under: uncultured bacterium
Lineage: Bacteria
Description: partial 16S ribosomal RNA
Rfam family: Bacterial small subunit ribosomal RNA
Source: RNAcentral
ACGAACGCUGGCGGCGUGCUUAACACAUGCCAGUCGAACGGAAAGGCCCUGCUUUUGUGGGGUGCUCGAGUGGCGAACGGGUGAGUAACACGUGAGUAACCUGCCCUUGACUUUGGGAUAACUUCAGGAAACUGGGGCUAAUACCGGAUAGGAGCUCCUGCUGCAUGGUGGGGGUUGGAAAGUUUCGGCGGUUGGGGAUGGACUCGCGGCUUAUCAGCUUGUUGGUGGGGUAGUGGCUUACCAAGGCUUUGACGGGUAGCCGGCCUGAGAGGGUGACCGGCCACAUUGGGACUGAGAUACGGCCCAGACUCCUACGGGAGGCAGCAGUGGGGAAUAUUGCACAAUGGGCGGAAGCCCGAUGCAGCAACGCCGCGUGCGGGAUGACGGCCUUCGGGUUGUAAACCGCUUUCGCCUGUGACGAAGCGUGAGUGACGGUAAUGGGUAAAGAAGCACCGGCUAACUACGUG